AGUUUGAUCCUGGCUCAGAACGUACGCUGGCGGCACGCUUAACACAUGCAAGUCGAACGAAGUAGCAAUACUUAGUGGCAGACGGGUGAGUAACAUGUGGGUAUCUGCCCUUUGGCCUGGAAUAACACGAGGAAACUUGUGCUAAUACCGGAUAAGUCUUUACGGAGAAAGCUUUAUGCACCAUUGGAUGAGCCCGCACUUGAUUAGUUUGUUGGUGGGGUAAUGGCCUACCAAGACUGUGAUCAAUAGCUGAUUUGAGAGGAUGAUCAGCCACAUUGGGACUGAGACACGGCCCAAACUCCUACGGGAGGCAGCAGUGGGGAAUCUUGCACAAUGGAGGAAACUCUGAUGCAGCGAUGCCGCGUGAGUGAAGAAGGCCCUUGGGUUGUAAAGCUCUUUCGUCGGGGAAGAAAAUGACUGUACCCGAAUAAGAAGGUCCGGCUAACUUCGUGCCAGCAGCCGCGGUAAUACGAAGGGACCUAGCGUAGUUCGGAAUUACUGGGCUUAAAGAGUUCAUAGGUGGUUGAAAAAGUUAGUGGUGAAAUCCCAGAGCUUAACUCUGGAACUGCCAUUAAAACUUUUCAGCUAGAGUAUGAUAGAGGAAAGCAGAAUUUCUAGUGUAGAGGUGAAAUUCGUANAUAUUANAAAGAAUACCAAUUGCGAAGGCAGCUUUCUGGAUCAUUUACUGAC
Molecule: ribosomal RNA, 690 nt
Filed under: uncultured Alphaproteobacteria bacterium
Lineage: Bacteria; Pseudomonadati; Pseudomonadota; Alphaproteobacteria
Description: bacterial SSU rRNA
Rfam family: Bacterial small subunit ribosomal RNA
Source: RNAcentral